AAAAUCCUACCAAAAAAAACAGUUGAUUAAAUUUGAAUAAUACAUAAAUUGAAAGAAAUUGUCAUCUGCUACAAAAUUUCCACACAAACAGAAAAAGAGACUUC
Molecule: long non-coding RNA, 104 nt
Organism: Strigops habroptila (Kakapo)
Lineage: Eukaryota; Metazoa; Chordata; Aves; Psittaciformes; Psittacidae
Exons: 3
Source: RefSeq, a predicted model, not a curated record